ACGGCAGCGCGGGGCAACCUGGCGGCGAGUGGCGAACGGGUGAGUAAUAUAUCGGAACGUACCCUGGAGUGGGGGAUAACGUAGCGAAAGUUACGCUAAUACCGCAUACGAUCUAAGGAUGAAAGCAGGGGACCGCAAGGCCUUGUGCUCCUGGAGCGGCCGAUAUCUGAUUAGCUAGUUGGUAGGGUAAAAGCCUACCAAGGCAUCGAUCAGUAGCUGGUCUGAGAGGACGACCAGCCACACUGGAACUGAGACACGGUCCAGACUCCUACGGGAGGCAGCAGUGGGGAAUUUUGGACAAUGGGCGCAAGCCUGAUCCAGCAAUGCCGCGUGAGUGAAGAAGGCCUUCGGGUUGUAAAGCUCUUUUGUCAGGGAAGAAACGGUGAGGGCUAAUAUCCUUUGCUAAUGACGGUACCUGAAGAAUAAGCACCGGCUAACUACGUGCCAGCAGCCGCGGUAAUACGUAGGGUGCAAGCGUUAAUCGGAAUUACUGGGCGUAAAGCGUGCGCAGGCGGUUUUGUAAGUUUGUCGUGAAAUCCCCGGGCUCAACCUGGGAAUGGCGAUGAAGACUGCAAGGCUAGAAUCUGGCAGAGGGGGGUAGAAUUCCACGUGUAGCAGUGAAAUGCGUAGAGAUGUGGAGGAACACCGAUGGCGAAGGCAGCCCCCUGGGUCAAGAUUGACGCUCAUGCACGAAAGCGUGGGGAGCAAACAGGAUUAGAUACCCUGGUAGUCCACGCCCUAAACGAUGUCUACUAGUUGUCGGGUUUUAAUU
RNAcentral lists this ribosomal RNA (772 nucleotides) under Massilia eurypsychrophila. RNAcentral's name for it is "bacterial SSU rRNA". It matches the Rfam family "Bacterial small subunit ribosomal RNA", at positions 66 to 835 of the family's 1533-position model. The record is from RNAcentral. Lineage: Bacteria; Pseudomonadati; Pseudomonadota; Betaproteobacteria; Burkholderiales; Oxalobacteraceae.